Molecule: long non-coding RNA, 525 nt
Organism: Triticum dicoccoides
Lineage: Eukaryota; Viridiplantae; Streptophyta; Magnoliopsida; Poales; Poaceae
Exons: 2
Source: RefSeq, a predicted model, not a curated record
AAUAAUAAUCUUACUUACAUACACACAAGAACUAGACAAGGUAGAAGAGAUCUAAAUCUAGCCGGAGAGAGGAGAGGAGCCCAGCCGGCCGGCGGCAAGAUGUACAACAACCCUCCGCCACCGCAGGGCAUGUCCUACUACGAGCACGCGCAGAAGCGCCACCAGGAGAAGGGAUGCCUCUACGCGUGCGUGUUCACGGCGCUGUGCUGCUUCUGCUGCUACGAGACGUGCGAGUGCUGCCUCGACUGCCUCUGCUGCUGCUGCAACUAAACCAGCCAUGGCCGCCAUGGCCGCCAUGGACGGAGGCCGCAAGGCGCAGCGGAGAUCCAGGCACCGGCCUCCGCCGCCGCCUUUCAUAAUAAGCAUAUGUGUCUAGUGUCUUAGCUCGAUGAGAAGUGUAUCAGAAGUUGCUAUAAUACUAUCUGUCCAUCAUGGUUUGUGUUGUUGUUGCUGCUACUGCUCUACCAUUUUAAUUUCAUUAGCAUCAGAUUAUGAUUCUCACCAAAUCACUGUGUCGUUUUCCUA